GACUAGGAGAGAUUACAUGAAUCAUGAAGUCCAUCCCCUAUCCACAACCAGAAGCUCCAAGGUUAUAUUUUUCCAGUUCCUGGACCUUGCCCAAAACAUUCCAGAGGUUUCAAGAAAUAUUUAGAAAGUCGAAGGUUUCCAAGGAGGUGGCUAACUAGGACUGAAUACACAACCACAUUUGUGCUGAAUAGCUAGAAAGCAAAGGAAACCCAUUAUGUGGUUUUUAAAACCUUUUGUGAAUUGUGGAAAAGAUACGUAAUGUUUCUGCUGAAGAAAAUCCAUCACAAUUAUCUAUAUGUUUUUUAUUUCACUCCAAGAAUUUUCAACAAUGAAUCUUUAUUGGGACCUUCAUAAAUAAAUAAAUAACCAGCAGUACUGCUGUCAUGGAGAACACUUAUAAAUGAGCUUACUACUACACAGCUGCUCUGAAGACUGCAUGUAUUGCUUGUAAAUAAUUAGUUUUCCACCUCUGACAGGUAGGGUUAUAAAAAUGAUUAU
Molecule: long non-coding RNA, 498 nt
Organism: Cygnus olor (mute swan)
Lineage: Eukaryota; Metazoa; Chordata; Aves; Anseriformes; Anatidae
Exons: 3
Source: RefSeq, a predicted model, not a curated record